RNAcentral lists this ribosomal RNA (253 nucleotides) under uncultured bacterium. RNAcentral describes it as "partial 16S ribosomal RNA". It matches the Rfam family "Bacterial small subunit ribosomal RNA", at positions 524 to 776 of the family's 1533-position model. The record is from RNAcentral.
UACGUAGGGAGCAAGCGUUGUCCGGAUUUACUGGGUGUAAAGGGUGCGUAGACGGCAAGGCAAGUCAGAAGUGAAAUCCAUGGGCUUAACCCAUGAACUGCUUUUGAAACUGUUUUGCUUGAGUGAUGUAGAGGUAGGCGGAAUUCCCGGUGUAGCGGUGGAAUGCGUAGAGAUCGGGAGGAACACCAGUGGCGAAGGCGGCCUACUGGGCAUUAACUGACGUUGAGGCACGAAAGCAUGGGUAGCAAACAGG